UUAACUCUACCUUUACAUCACGAUGGAUGAUGCCCAAGUCAUGGAGAUAGCCUGUGGAGAACAAGUACAAGGACCAGUUCAGCUGCAAAGAGACGGACAGAAUCCUCUGGAAAACAACCAACAGUGGACCACAGGGAGUAGAGAUCCAUGCUGCAGUAGCUACACACUGCAAAGCACCAGAAGUCUAGGCAAUACUGAGGUCUGUACUAUAAUGCCUGGGCUUAAAGCAUUAUGGACCUCUUGCCCAAACUAAUGCCACCAUCUGUUUCCCUCUUGUGGAAUACAGAAAUGCUAUGAGGAGCGGAGCCAAGGAAAGGCAGAAUGUCAGGUGGGAAGGGCAGUAUAUGGACCUUUUGGGGAGAAGACAAAAACCCAGUCACUCACUAAUAAAGAGGUGUCGUUUCCCC
This 407-nucleotide long non-coding RNA is filed under the name Rattus norvegicus (Norway rat). Its description in RNAcentral is "long non-coding RNA NONRATT004612". Lineage: Eukaryota; Metazoa; Chordata; Mammalia; Rodentia; Muridae. The record is from RNAcentral.